GCCCAGACUCCUACGGGAGGCAGCAGUGGGGAAUAUUGCACAAUGGGGGAAACCCUGAUGCAGCGACGCCGCGUGAGGGAAGACAGUCUUCGGAUUGUAAACCUCUGUCUUUGGGGAAGAAAAUGACGGUACCCAAAGAGGAAGCUCCGGCUAACUACGUGCCAGCAGCCGCGGUAAUACGUAGGGAGCGAGCGUUGUCCGGAAUUACUGGGUGUAAAGGGAGCGUAGGCGGGCGAGAAAGUUGAAUGUUAAAUCUACCGGCUUAACUGGUAGCUGCGUUCAAAACUUCUUGUCUUGAGCGAAGUAGAGGCAGGCGGAAUUCCUAGUGUAGCGGUGAAAUGCGUAGAUAUUAGGAGGAACACCAGUGGCGAAGGCGGCCUGCCGGGCUUUAACUGACGCUGAGGCUCGAAAGCGUGGGGAGCAAACAGGAUUAGAUACCCGCGUA
This 445-nucleotide ribosomal RNA is filed under the name uncultured bacterium. RNAcentral describes it as "bacterial SSU rRNA". It matches the Rfam family "Bacterial small subunit ribosomal RNA", at positions 329 to 792 of the family's 1533-position model. The record is from RNAcentral.